RNAcentral lists this ribosomal RNA (1214 nucleotides) under Mileewa margheritae. RNAcentral describes it as "16S ribosomal RNA". Lineage: Eukaryota; Metazoa; Arthropoda; Insecta; Hemiptera; Cicadellidae. The record is from RNAcentral.
UUUAUUUAAAUUAAAAUUUAUAAUAUUUUUAUUUUUAUUAUUUUAUUUAAUUUAAGUACAAUUAUGAAUUUAUCAUUAAUUUUUAACUGUUAAGGUUUAAUUUUUAAUAAUGUAAAAUAAUUAUUAGUACCUUUUGUAUCAGGGUUAGUUUAUUUAAUAAUUUAUAUAUUAUUCCCGAAUAGAAAAUAUUUAAUUUAUAGKUUAUUUAUUUGUUAUAAAAUGUUAUUAAACUAUAUUUUAGUAAUAAAAAGUUAUUCGUUUUUCUUAUAUAUCUGGUUUUCUAAGAUAAAAUUAAAUUUUAGAUUUAAUUAUUUAUUAAUUUAUUUUUUAUUAUUUCUUAAUGAUUUGGGGAAAAGCUCGAAUUUAUUUUUAAAAUAAUUAUUAUUAAAUAUAUUUUAUAGAUUUAAAAUCUUUCUUUAAGUUCGUAAUAGAUUUAUAUAUUUAUAUAAAAUUUUAUUUUAUUUAUAUUAAUAUUAGAUUUUUUUAAAAAAUUUAAAUUUAAAAUAAAUAAUGAUUAAAUUAGUAUAAUUUUUAAAUUAUUAUUUAUGAACUCGACAAAUUUUAUUUUCAACUGUUUAACAAAAACAUUUUUUUUAGAUUUAAUUAAAAGUAGUUUCUGCCCAAUGAAUAUUUAAAUGGCUGCAGUAUUUUGACUGUGCAAAGGUAGCAUAAUAAUUAGUCUUUUAAUUGAGGACUGGAAUGAAUGGAUAUAUGAGAAAUAUAUUUUAUUAUUUUAAUUUUUGUAAUUUAAUUUUUAAGUAAAAAAGCUUAAUUAAAUUUUAGGGACGAAAAGACCCUAUAGAACUUUAUUUUUAAUUUAUUUAUAUAAUUUUAGUAUUGAAAUUAUUUUAAUUAAUAUUAAAAAUUUGGUUGGGGGGACAUUUAAAUAUAAAACUUUAAUUUUUUURUUCAUUUAUUUAUGAUUAUAAUGAUCCAUUAUURAUUAAUGAUUACAAGACAAAGUUACCUUAGGGAUAACAGCGUAAUUUUAAUGGAGAGAUCAUAUCUAUAUUAAAGUUUGCGACCUCGAUGUUGAAUUAAGAAAAGUUUAAGGGGUAGUUUCUUUAAAAUCUAAGUCUGUUCGACUUUUAAAUUCUUACAUGAUUUGAGUUCAGAUCGGCGUGAGCCAGAUCGGUUUCUAUCUUAAAACAAUAUUUAUUAUUUUAGUACGAAAGGACCAUAUAAUACUAAUUUUUAUUUAGUUAAAUAUUUAA